Molecule: ribosomal RNA, 994 nt
Filed under: Advenella mimigardefordensis
Lineage: Bacteria; Pseudomonadati; Pseudomonadota; Betaproteobacteria; Burkholderiales; Alcaligenaceae
Description: bacterial SSU rRNA
Rfam family: Bacterial small subunit ribosomal RNA
Source: RNAcentral
UGAGACACGGCCCAGACUCCUACGGGAGGCAGCAGUGGGGAAUUUUGGACAAUGGGGGAAACCCUGAUCCAGCCAUCCCGCGUGUGCGAUGAAGGCCUUCGGGUUGUAAAGCACUUUUGUCAGGGAAGAAAAGGUUUCGGAUAAUACCCGGAACUGAUGACGGUACCUGAAGAAUAAGCACCGGCUAACUACGUGCCAGCAGCCGCGGUAAUACGUAGGGUGCAAGCGUUAAUCGGAAUUACUGGGCGUAAAGCGUGCGCAGGCGGUUCGGAAAGAAAGAUGUGAAAUCCCAGGGCUCAACCUUGGAACUGCAUUUUUAACUACCGGACUAGAGUAUGUCAGAGGGGGGUGGAAUUCCACGUGUAGCAGUGAAAUGCGUAGAUAUGUGGAGGAACACCGAUGGCGAAGGCAGCCCCCUGGGAUAAUACUGACGCUCAUGCACGAAAGCGUGGGGAGCAAACAGGAUUAGAUACCCUGGUAGUCCACGCCCUAAACGAUGUCAACUAGCUGUUGGGCCCUUCGGGGCUUAGUAGCGCAGCUAACGCGUGAAGUUGACCGCCUGGGGAGUACGGUCGCAAGAUUAAAACUCAAAGGAAUUGACGGGGACCCGCACAAGCGGUGGAUGAUGUGGAUUAAUUCGAUGCAACGCGAAAAACCUUACCUACCCUUGACAUGUCUGGAAUCCUGAAGAGAUUUAGGAGUGCUCGCAAGAGAACCGGAACACAGGUGCUGCAUGGCUGUCGUCAGCUCGUGUCGUGAGAUGUUGGGUUAAGUCCCGCAACGAGCGCAACCCUUGUCAUUAGUUGCUACAUUUAGUUGAGCACUCUAAUGAGACUGCCGGUGACAAACCGGAGGAAGGUGGGGAUGACGUCAAGUCCUCAUGGCCCUUAUGGGUAGGGCUUCACACGUCAUACAAUGGUCGGGACAGAGGGUUGCCAAACCGCAAGGUGGAGCUAAUCUCAUAAACCCGAUCGUAGUCCGGAUUGCAGGCUGC